GUUGCCUUUUUUGUUUGCACAGUAGCUGUCAAUUCCAGCCUUGCAGGAUCAUUAAAAGAGAAACCUGUAAAGGCAACAUUCCUGUAACCGAGUUGGUGCUGCAACGUGCUGGUAAGAAAACAUAUUUAUUUUUUUUUAUCCUUUUUUUUUUUUUUUUGCUUUUCCUUUUUUUUUUUUUUUUGCUUUUCCUUUAUUUUUUUAUUUUUUAUUUUUUUAAGAGCUGAAGGCUUUGUCUGUCUAAUGCAGUCAUAAGCGUGGCUUCCCUGCCGUGAGGGGUUAGCAUGUAAUGAAAAGGUGUAAUUGCCUGAUAUGUGACCUUCGCGUCAUAUGUAUAAUGGGUAAUAACAGAUCCGUGUGUACCCUGAUGAUGCUUCUCUCCGCGAAUUGAUGAGUCGCCCAGUUGCAACAGGGCUAGGACUGUCGCACCAUGGCAAGGAGUUGUUGCUCGUUUAAGGCUGGCAUUUCCGUGUCCUGUCGGGGGGGGAGAAUUCUUGAGUUCUCCAAGUUAUUUGCUUGCAGAGGUGUCGUGGGUUUUAAUAGGUCUCUGACAGACUGUAAGUGCUUUGUUAUUUACUCUCCAGACAGGAAGUACAAUGAUGAAACUUUUUUUUUAAAGUAACCCUGUAAUUAUCCUAGACUUCCUUAGUCCAGAUAAUGAGGAGACCAAAGUGAGUUCUGGGUAGCGUUAUUUUAAUCCCUUUCAUCUACAACUCAUCAGGAGUUCAUUAGACAAUCGACGGGACAGCCUAGAUCAUCGGGGGACUGAGAACUUGAGAGGGCCACUUUUUUCUUGAAAAGGACGAAUUUUAAUUCAGCCCAAUUAAAUGCAACAAGUAUUUCUGUAUACAUCACCUGGGACUAGAACAGAGAAUGUUCUUGUCUGAUAGUCUGUUGCGGGAAGAGAUGUCCAGCAGUCGGCUUUGCAUGCUACUGUGAGGACUGAUCAGAUCAUUUAAGACACGUUUCAAAUGCAGGACUGUUGACGAUGAGAUAGUUGCCAAGGUGAAGUCUCUGACAACCAAUGUACUUCUCUUCCUCCUGUGCAGGCACAUUUAUGUCAAUUUGCAACGAUGCUUAGCACAUUUUUGACUGCAUUUUAAAAUUAUAAGGAGAGGAGAUAACAUAGAAAUCUUUUCUUUCUUAAAAUCCUAUAUCCUUGUGGCAAAGUUUGAGCUUUUACCCCAGUGCUGGCCUCAGAAGCUAUAAGACACAAGGACAGGUUUAGAUUGGAAAAUGAGUGUUCUUGGACUGAGGUCAAGAAACUUAGGAACAGAUAUUUUUCCUUUACAGCCUUUAAAAACACACGUAAAAUAUCAAGGGGUAUUUUUGUCUGUGUUCCAUGGUUGUCUGUAAACUGUGGUCAUUUUUGGUUUUGUGCCUUUUGUUUUCGGUUUUUAGUUAGAUAAGUAAAAAUGGACCAGAAAGAUGGUCAAAAGAGAAUGUAGUUACCCAAUAUCCAUUAAGACCUUUUCCUAAAGAAAAAAAAAAAUCUCUCCUUUGGACGUUUGAAGAUUGUAUGCCAUGUGCAUCUGGUAGGGAAUGUGGCAGUCUACAUCCUGGUAACAUUUGGUCUCUCGUCUCUGGAGCUAUUCUAUCUAAUUGUGUCAUUUCUACAUUUAAACAACUCUGAACCGUGCCGCCCUGCAGGUCCUCACCGUUGGCCCCCAGAUCACUUGCAAUGUCUAAAAAGACCUUGGAACAUUAGAAAAUGUCAAUUGUUGGAAUAAUUUCUGCCUCUCAUAACAAGAGAAAAUACUGUGGAUUUAAUAGUUCGUUUCUAAAAUCCAUUUUUAUCCACCAGUAACUGUCUAUUAGGAACAUUUCCGUUAUAAUUGGAAUAAAUUGUUGCCCAGUAACAAGCAACUAACUCUGAAGCUACUUGCCAUAGAAAUCAGUGACUAGAAAUAGCUACAAAGAGCUUAAUGCAAGUCAAACCGCAGCACUUGCAUUUCUUAAUUUUUUCAAAAAAAAAAGUAUUCAAUUUUUAAUAGUUUUAUUCUGCUACUUAAAUUCUUGACUUUUUUUUACUCAAGGUCCCUCUUCUAGGAAAAUUUCUAAUUGACCCAAAUCCCUGGUGUGAAAAAUAGAGGCCCAUAGACCUUUGGAGAAAAAUGUUUUUUCUUUCUGACUCAAAAUAAGAAUAGGAGAGGAUGAGCAUACUCUCUCAGACUAUGAACGUGAAGAAGAUUCUGGGCCAGCAACACCAUUACAUGUGAAGAACGGCUAUCAUCUCUUGCAGAACGUAAUGCAAAAUUACAGGUUUCACUGUAGGACUCUGUCAUUUGAACGAGUAAUCAGUCCAUAAUUCUAUAGAUUGCUGCAGGUAAAUGAUGCUUCUCCCCAUUAAUAAAAUAUGGAAUAACACUGAAGUUACUUUAGUUAGAUUUUUACCCUAUCCAUUUUUUUUCCAAGAGAAACAGAUCCUCAUAAACCCAAAUCCUGAUAUUGAAAUAUACUUAAUACCAGAAUGUAUUUUCUUCUUCCCUAGCUGAAGGAUGAUAAUAUUACAGUUUCAAGGGCAAAUUUCUUCAACAAUCGUUCUGCAUUUUCCAUUUAGCUCUGGCGGCAGUGGGGGAUAGUUUUCAACCUUCUAAUUGCACACAUGUUGGGAUGAAAAAACACUGUUAUUUUAAACACAGACACACAAACAGACAAAAUUAUAAACACUAGCAUGAAAAUAUCUAGCAAAUAUAAAGGUGUAAGUAGUGCUUUCUGAAAAUAUGACUGUCGAUAUUUGCUCAGCUCAGUAUCAAUGUUGACAGGGUAUCAACUAUUUUAGAAUCUAUGGGAGCACUGAGAAUGAAAAAGCCCUAUCUUGGCCAUCCAGGGAAUGACAGUGUAGUGGAAGUUUAGCUGGUGGCCUAGAAAGCAAUUUGAUUAAUUGGCCUGUGAGGAAUUUUACAUUGUGUAUGGUUCUCGGGAACAAAUAAAAUUAUAAUGUAUUGUUAUGACCUCUUAGAACAGGCAUAUUCUUUACUUUCCACUUUUGCUUUAGUUCUUCUGUUGGCACAUAUGUGUUUUCUACUUCUUGUGUCUUUAAAAGUUGUUCCUAUUAGACAAAUAGUCAGUAUCUGUAUUUUUUCCACUAUAAAAGAGACGGAGCAAGAAGCACAAGGCUGGGUAUCAGGAGAUACCAUCCGAAUCCAAAAUAUCCCACUGAUUUUGCUACUUCAUCUUCCAAGGCCUCUGUCUCCUCAUACAAAGAGGAAGUGGCCACAUCCCACAGCAAAAACGUGUCGGUCCCACUGUGGUGAAGAUGGGUAACUUGCCUUGGAGAGAAAGAGGAAUGUCAGUUAUGGAAGGCAUUCUGGUCCAGUGGUUUAAACAGAGUACCAGCGAGUUACUGACACAGAAACUCCAAGUUCUAGCCUCUGCAUUUGGGCUGAAUUGAGUGUGGUUGUGCCAGCUCCUUAAUUUCAUACCCUCUGCUCUCUUGGCUGACGAGGUAAUGCCCACAGGACUAGAGAGAAGCACUGCAAUAGAACAGCAAGUGUGUGGUGAUGAGUGCUGUGCUACCAUCAAUUGAAAUGCUUCCUACAUGGGACCCAAGAAAAUAAAGAGAAUUUCUCUCACUUUGAAACUGAAAGGUAGAGCAAAGAUGAGUUCCCUCAGUGGGUUAAGAACCUGACAUAGUGUCUGUGAGGGUUAGGGACCUGAGUUACUGCAAGCUGGGGUGUCAUUCACAGAUGUGGCUCUGAUCCUGCCUUGCUGUGGCUGUGGUGAGGAGCAUAGAUUUGGCUCUGGAACAUCCAUAUCUCACAGGUACGGCGAAAGAAAGGAAAGAAAGGAAGGAAGGAA
RNAcentral lists this long non-coding RNA (3798 nucleotides) under Sus scrofa (pig). RNAcentral describes it as "lncRNA (ENSSSCG00050069605.1)". Lineage: Eukaryota; Metazoa; Chordata; Mammalia; Artiodactyla; Suidae. The record is from RNAcentral.